RNAcentral lists this ribosomal RNA (253 nucleotides) under uncultured bacterium. RNAcentral's name for it is "partial 16S ribosomal RNA". It matches the Rfam family "Bacterial small subunit ribosomal RNA", at positions 524 to 776 of the family's 1533-position model. The record is from RNAcentral.
UACGGAGGGUGCAAGCGUUAUCCGGAUUCACUGGGUUUAAAGGGUGCGUAGGUGGUAUGGUAAGUCAGUGGUGAAAUCUCCAAGCUUAACUUGGAAACUGCCGUUGAUACUAUCAUUCUUGAAUAUCGUGGAGGUAAGCGGAAUAUGUCAUGUAGCGGUGAAAUGCUUAGAUAUGACAUAGAACACCGAUUGCGAAGGCAGCUUGCUACACGAUCAUUGACACUGAGGCACGAAAGCGUGGGGAUCAAACAGG